AGAAUCAACGCUGGCGGCGUGCCUAACACAUGCAAGUCGAACGAGAAAGGGUAGCAAUACCUGAGUAAAGUGGCGCACGGGUGAGUAACACGUGACUAACCUACCUUUUAGUGGGGGAUAACCUAGGGAAACCUGGGCUAAUACCGCAUAAUACCUACGGGUCAAAGCAGUAAUGCGCUGGAAGAGGGGGUCGCGGCCGAUUAGCUAGUUGGCGGGGUAAUGGCCCACCAAGGCAGUGGUCGGUAUCCGGCCUGAGAGGGCGCACGGACACACUGGAACUGAAACACGGUCCAGACUCCUACGGGAGGCAGCAGUGGGGAAUUUUGCGCAAUGGGGGAAACCCUGACGCAGCAACGCCGCGUGGAGGAUGAAGACCCUUGGGUCGUAAACUCCUUUCGAUCGGGACGAUAAUGACGGUACCGGAAGAAGAAGCCCGGCUAACUUCGCGCCAGCAGCCGC
Molecule: ribosomal RNA, 459 nt
Filed under: uncultured bacterium
Lineage: Bacteria
Description: SSU rRNA
Rfam family: Bacterial small subunit ribosomal RNA
Source: RNAcentral